GAUCAUGGCUCAGGAUGAACGCUGGCGGCGUGCUUAACACAUGCAAGUCGAACGAAGCACUUUAUUACGAUUUCUUCGGAAUGACGAUUUAGUGACUGAGUGGCGGACGGGUGAGUAACGCGUGGGUAACCUGCCUUAUACAGGGGGAUAACAGUUAGAAAUGACUGCUAAUACCGCAUAAGCGCACAGGAUUGCAUAAUCUGGUGUGAAAAACUCCGGUGGUAUAAGAUGGACCCGCGU
This 240-nucleotide ribosomal RNA is filed under the name uncultured bacterium. RNAcentral's name for it is "partial 16S ribosomal RNA". It matches the Rfam family "Bacterial small subunit ribosomal RNA", at positions 15 to 236 of the family's 1533-position model. The record is from RNAcentral.